CAAGAAGACCCUAAGAAUUUUAGAAACAAAUAAUUUUUGUUAAUAAAAAAAUUAUUUGUUUUUUAGUUGGGGCAACUAAAAAAUAUUAUAAACUUUUUAAAAAUAAGAUGACCCAUUAUUAAUGAUAAUUUGAAAAAAAUACUCUAGGGAUAACAGCGUAAUAAUUUUUGAUAGAACAUAUAGACAAAAUAGUUUGCGACCUCGAUGUUGGAUUAGGAUACUUUUUUAAUGAAGAUGUUAAAAAAAGAAGUUUGUUCAACUUUUAAAUUCCUACUUGAUCUGAGUUCA
RNAcentral lists this ribosomal RNA (288 nucleotides) under Dermacentor occidentalis. Its description in RNAcentral is "partial 16S ribosomal RNA". The stretch from base 149 to 288 matches the Rfam family "Bacterial large subunit ribosomal RNA", at positions 2473 to 2613 of the family's 2925-position model. The record is from RNAcentral. Lineage: Eukaryota; Metazoa; Arthropoda; Arachnida; Ixodida; Ixodidae.